GAGUUUGAUCUUGGCUCAGAGUGAACGCUGGCGGCAGGCCUAACACACGCAAGUCGAACGGCAGCACAGAGGAGCUUGCUCCUUGGGUGGCGAGUGGCGGACGGGUGAGGAAUGCAUCGGAAUCUGCCUAUUUGUGGGGGAUAACGUAGGGAAACUUACGCUAAUACCGCAUACGUCCUACGGGAGAAAGUGGGGGACCUUCGGGCCUCACGCAGAUAGAUGAGCCGAUGCCGGAUUAGCUAGUUGGCGGGGUAAAGGCCCACCAAGGCGACGAUCCGUAGCUGGUCUGAGAGGAUGAUCAGCCACACUGGAACUGAGACACGGUCCAGACUCCUACGGGAGGCAGCAGUGGGGAAUAUUGGACAAUGGGCGCAAGCCUGAUCCAGCCAUGCCGCGUGUGUGAAGAAGGCC
RNAcentral lists this ribosomal RNA (411 nucleotides) under uncultured Gammaproteobacteria bacterium. RNAcentral describes it as "bacterial SSU rRNA". It matches the Rfam family "Bacterial small subunit ribosomal RNA", at positions 9 to 416 of the family's 1533-position model. The record is from RNAcentral. Lineage: Bacteria; Pseudomonadati; Pseudomonadota; Gammaproteobacteria.